AUUGUUUAGAAGGCACCACCGUUCGUUUGCAUUUCCAUAUAUUCAGAAAGAUUAUACUGUCUAUAUAUUGUCCUCAUCUUUAUUGCUAUGGAAUGAUCUUGUCAAAAAUCAAUGGUCUUUUUACUACCAAUCUUUAUCUCUCAUUACCAUGAGGCAAACCCAUACCCGGUGCACAGCUCCAACCUGCAUGUUUCCCAGCGCGCCGCUUUCCCAUGAGAUCUGUGGGGCACACAGCCAUGUGGAGCUGUGUUCCUUCUGUGCUGGGGGGUUCUGGCAGCCCCUGCACACCUCAUGCCGCCCAACAAGAAGUGCUCUGAGCACACCAGGAGCGGUGCCCAGCAGCAACACCGCGUGCUCAGAGCGGGACCUGACAGGCCUGCCCUGGGCUGAGCAGCGCCCUGGAAGCAGAAGGACUCCUGCCGAGCCCUGCUCUGAGGCCAGGCUCCCUGCUGCCCCGUGGGAUGCAGGAGGUGAUGCGGGAGGGCGUGAACCUCAAGUUCUGCUUCCACUGAAACGUGGCAGUGCUCCUCCCUCCUCCACUUCUUACUGCUUACUGAAGAACAGGUGGCCAAUAAGCAGAUAAAUGCAAUAAUAAAAGUCUACAACAAAUAGAGCAGCAAUAUAAAUAGCAGUUUUUUCACCACUGUACAUUGAAAUCAAAGGCUUCAGUUCCAAGACCAAGACUCUAUCAGAUCCAAAGAGAAAAAUUACAACAACAUGCAGAAGUGAAGGUAAAAAAGGCUUACUCAGCUCAGACACAGCCCGGUCUUCACAGAACCAGAACUGCUGGUUUUCCUGAAGCUGGUCAGGGGUUUGGGCCUCUUCUUGAGGCAAGCGAGCGUCCAAAUCUCUCAGCAUUUGCCCAAAUAAAGCAGCGCCUGCCUGUGCCGACCAGUUCUACCAUUUUCAAGUGUUACAAUUCAACUAAACAAAAUCCAGCUCUUGAACAGACAUUUGGAAAUGCUUUUUGUCCCUCAAGGCUUUCUCUUUCCCAAACUCCAGCCCGACUGCUAAGUGUGACUGGAGCUCAGAAAUAUUUCCUACUAACAGAAACCACUACAUUGGUAUCAUCCUUAAUGCAGCACUGUUUUGCUUAAACUGAAAUCACACCCGAGGACAGUCACAUCGUGAGAAUCAAAGUUUCUAAAAGUUAAAACAAAGCUAAGAACGGUGGAUGUGACGAGAACGGAUACGUGCCCUGGUUUCCAGCAACUCUGUCAUUUCUACACAUUUGCCCUGCGAAUUAUUCAGAUACAAUAUUUUGAUUACCAGUGACACCACGGGCACAGCUACCUGCUGGCCCUGUGUGCACACCCGCGUGCCAUAAAUUCAACAGGCUUCCAGCACACUCCCCCUCGCAGUGAAGUGCUGCCCAUCUCACCCUUACGGCUUGCUUCUCACCACGUCUAUUUACAGAUGCUCAAACCAACCACCCACAGGGACCCAGCCUGGUCACUGGCUGCCCUCAAUCUGCUCCACUCAUACACCGCCCUCCUGUCCCACCCUCUCCCAGCCCAACCCUCCCAGGGCACAGCCAUGUGCCAGGGUUGUGGGCCCCUCCACACCUCCCCGCCUCCUCUGCCACAGUCAUUAAUGAAAACUGUAACAGAUGGGUCCCAAAAUUUAUUCCAUUUGUAGAUGUUGGAUGUUUUUAAAGAAUACAACAAUUUACAAUACAGCAAGAUUAGUAAUGACACGAUAGCAUAUAAAUGGCACAAACAACCACACAGCGUAAUCUCCCUGAAAUGUUUGAAACAUUCUGCAUUUCAGCCUCUUUUAUCUUUCUCUCCCAUCUCUCACCUUCUGCCUGCUUGUCUGUACUUUCUCUGUUUCAUCAAUCUUUCCUUCUCAUUCUCAGAUCAAAGUCGAGAAUAUUCGUUCAAACUCAAGAAAGCUGGGUUUGCAGUGUUAAUAUUCCUCACUCCAAUCUCUGGAUUCAGUUUACAAAAUCUGAAGACCAUCACACACCACACACAAAAGAUACAAACGUUUGAAAAGGUUCCU
Gallus gallus (chicken) is the source of this 2004-nucleotide long non-coding RNA. Lineage: Eukaryota; Metazoa; Chordata; Aves; Galliformes; Phasianidae. The record is from Ensembl.